RNAcentral lists this ribosomal RNA (229 nucleotides) under uncultured bacterium. RNAcentral's name for it is "partial 16S ribosomal RNA". It matches the Rfam family "Bacterial small subunit ribosomal RNA", at positions 107 to 334 of the family's 1533-position model. The record is from RNAcentral.
UGAGUAACACGUAUCCAACCUGCCGUCUACUCUUGGCCAGCCUUCUGAAAGGAAGAUUAAUCCAGGAUGGGAUCAUGAGUUCACAUGUCCGCAUGAUUAAAGGUAUUUUCCGGUAGACGAUGGGGAUGCGUUCCAUUAGAUAGUAGGCGGGGUAACGGCCCACCUAGCCAACGAUGGAUAGGGGUUCUGAGAGGAAGGUCCCCCACAUUGGAACUGAGACACGGUCCAA